Molecule: ribosomal RNA, 482 nt
Filed under: uncultured bacterium
Lineage: Bacteria
Description: partial 16S ribosomal RNA
Rfam family: Bacterial small subunit ribosomal RNA
Source: RNAcentral
GACGAACGCUGGAGGCGUGCUUAACACAUGCAAGUCGAACGAUGAAAUGGAGCUUGCUCCAUGGAUUAGUGGCGAACGGGUGAGUAACACGUGAAUAACCUGCCCUUAAUUUUGGAAUAACCCAGGGAAACCUGGGCUAAUACCGGAUAAGUAAACCUGUGGCAUCACAUGGUUUUGGAAAGUUUUUCGAUUAAGGAUGGAUUCGCGGCCUAUCAGCUUGUUGGUGAGGUAAUGGCUCACCAAGGCGACGACGGGUAGCCGGCCUGAGAGGGUGAACGGCAACACUGGGACUGAGACACGGCCCAGACUCCUACGGGAGGCAGCAGUGGGGAAUAUUGCGCAGUGGACGAAAGUCUGACGCAGCGACGCCUCGUGAGGGACGAAGGUCUUCGGAUUGUAAACCUCUUUCAGCAGGGACGAAGCGAAAGUGACGGUACCUGCAGAAGAGGCACCGGCUAACUAUGUGCCAGCAGCCGCCGUAA